GACGAACGCUGGCGGCGUGCCUAAUACAUGCAAGUAGAACGCAGUCGCGAACGGGUGAGUAACGCGUCGGUAACUGCCUCAUAGCGGGGGAUAACUAUUGGCAACGAUAGCUAAUACCGCAUACUGCGAGAUGGACCUGCGUUGUAUUAGCUAGUUGGUGCGGUAAAGGAUCACCAAGGCGACGAUACAUAGCCGAACGGAGAGGGUGGUCGGCCGCACUGGGAGUGAGACACGGCCCAGACGCCUACGGGAGGCAGCAGUAGGGAAUCGUGGGCAAUGGACGGAAGUCUGACCGAGCAAGGCCGCGUGAGGGAAGAAGGUUUUCGGGUCGUAAAGCUCUGUUGUUGGAGAAGCGGUAGCUAACCAGAAAGGGACGGCUAACUACGUGCCAGCAGCCGCGGUAAUUC
RNAcentral lists this ribosomal RNA (407 nucleotides) under uncultured bacterium. RNAcentral's name for it is "partial 16S ribosomal RNA". It matches the Rfam family "Bacterial small subunit ribosomal RNA", at positions 28 to 526 of the family's 1533-position model. The record is from RNAcentral.